Molecule: ribosomal RNA, 254 nt
Filed under: uncultured bacterium
Lineage: Bacteria
Description: partial 16S ribosomal RNA
Rfam family: Bacterial small subunit ribosomal RNA
Source: RNAcentral
UACGGGGGGGGCAAGCGUUGUUCGGAAUUACUGGGCGUAAAGGGCUCGUAGGCGGCCAACUAAGUCGGACGUGAAAUCCUCAGGCUCAACCUGGGAACUGCGUCCGAUACUGGAUGGCUUGAAUUCGGGAGAGGGAUGCAGAAUUCCAGGUGUAGCGGUGAAAUGCGUAGAUAUCUGGAGGAACACCGGUGGCGAAGGCGGCAUCCUGGACCAAUUCUGACGCUGAGUGAGCGAAAGCCAGGGGAGCAAACGGG